Molecule: unclassified non-coding RNA, 366 nt
Filed under: Bombus terrestris (buff-tailed bumblebee)
Lineage: Eukaryota; Metazoa; Arthropoda; Insecta; Hymenoptera; Apidae
Description: misc RNA ENSBTSG00005032579.1
Source: RNAcentral
GUAAAUUUUAGUUGAAGAAGCAAAGGAUAAAUUUGAUGAUGUAGGAUACUACUGCGCUCAAUACAUUCAAUUAUAAUAAAUAAAAAUUGUAAUAUACUUAAAUAUAUAAAAAACAAGAAAACUAAUAACUGACGAGUUCAUGCAUAUUGCCAACAAUACAUCAUGCUGUACUCGAACUAAUUUGUGUUGUGUUAAUAUAAUUCAUAAGAUAAGAGUAAUUUAUAUGAAAUAAAAUUGAGAAGCAUUUCAUGAAAACCAAACCAAAUUUUUGAAGAUCUUGAAACUUCUGUUAUGUAACUUAUGACUUAUCUGUUCCGAAUUACAAAGUCAUUACAUAAAUACCAUUAUAUUUGUAAAACAAUAAGC